This 550-nucleotide unclassified non-coding RNA is filed under the name plant metagenome. RNAcentral's name for it is "partial contains small subunit ribosomal RNA and internal transcribed spacer 1". The stretch from base 25 to 332 matches the Rfam family "Group I catalytic intron". From Rfam's summary of the family: Group I catalytic introns are large self-splicing ribozymes. They catalyse their own excision from mRNA, tRNA and rRNA precursors in a wide range of organisms. The record is from RNAcentral.
AAGUCGUAACAAGGUUUUGCUAAGCAACAGUCCUUCUAUAGCAGGGCUUAACGGAGACCUUGCACCCGAGAGGGAGUGGGCGACUAUAAACAAACUGCUAGCGCAAGUCAGCCUGGCUGGCAACACAACCGAAUUGCGGGGACGCUUUAAUACCCAACGGUACCAACUACCCUACCGGGGUAGGGCUGGCUCUGCCAGAGGUUAUAAUCCGUUGAGAUGUACAAUAAGCAAUCCGCAGCAGCACCUUUCCAGUGCUGUUCACAGACUAAGUGGUUGUGGGUAAGACAUCUGUCCUACCUAAGAUAUAGUCGGGCCCCGUGAGAGAUUACGGGGGCUUCUGCGUCCGUAGGUGAACCUGCGGAAGGAUCAUUACAAGUGAGCCUGGUGGGUCGCUGGCAACAGCGCUCUCCUAGGCAUCGCCCACCCGUGUUUACAUACUCUUGUUGCUUUGGCAGGCCGUGGCCUCCACUGCGGGUUCUGCUCGUAAGUGCCUGCCAGAGGACCAAACUCUGAAUAUUAGUGACGUCUGAGUACUAUAUAAUAGUUAAAA